RNAcentral lists this ribosomal RNA (449 nucleotides) under uncultured bacterium. RNAcentral describes it as "partial 16S ribosomal RNA". It matches the Rfam family "Bacterial small subunit ribosomal RNA", at positions 29 to 523 of the family's 1533-position model. The record is from RNAcentral.
AACGAACGCUGGCGGCAGGCCUAAAACAUGCAAGUCGAACGCCGUAGCAAUACGGAGUGGCAGACGGGUGAGUAACACGUGGGAACGUGCCCUUUGGUCCGGAACAACACAGGGAAACUUGUGCUAAUACCGGAUAAGCCCUUACGGGGAAAGAUUUAUCGCCGAAGGAUCGGCCCGCGUCUGAUUAGCUAGUUGGUGGGGUAAUGGCCCACCAAGGCUACGAUCAGUAGCUGGUCUGAGAGGAUGAUCAGCCACACUGGGACUGAGACACGGCCCAGACUCCUACGGGAGGCAGCAGUUAGGAAUCUUGGACAAUGGGCGCAAGCCUGAUCCAGCCAUGCCGCGUGAGUGAUGAAGGCCUUAGGGUUGUAAAGCUCUUUCAGCGGGGAAGAUAAUGACGGUACCCGCAGAAGAAGCCCCGGCUAACUUCGUGCCAGCCGCCGCAGUAA